UGCAAGUCGAACGAUGAUGCCCAGCUUGCUGGGUUGAUUAGUGGCGAACGGGUGAGUAACACGUGAGUAACCUGCCCCUGACUCUGGGAUAAGCGUUGGAAACGACGUCUAAUACUGGAUAUGAUCACUGGUCGCAUGGCCUGGUGGUGGAAAGAUUUUUUGGUUGGGGAUGGACUCGCGGCCUAUCAGCUUGUUGGUGAGGUAAUGGCUCACCAAGGCGACGACGGGUAGCCGGCCUGAGAGGGUGACCGGCCACACUGGGACUGAGACACGGCCCAGACUCCUACGGGAGGCAGCAGUGGGGAAUAUUGCACAAUGGGCGAAAGCCUGAUGCAGCAACGCCGCGUGAGGGAUGACGGCCUUCGGGUUGUAAACCUCUUUUAGUAGGGAAGAAGCGAAAGUGACGGUACCUGCAGAAAAAGCACCGGCUAACUACGUGCCAGCAGCCGCGGUAAUACGUAGGGUGCAAGCGUUGUCCGGAAUUAUUGGGCGUAAAGAGCUCGUAGGCGGUUUGUCGCGUCUGCUGUGAAAUCCCGAGGCUCAACCUCGGGCUUGCAGUGGGUACGGGCAGACUAGAGUGCGGUAGGGGAGAUUGGAAUUCCUGGUGUAGCGGUGGAAUGCGCAGAUAUCAGGAGGAACACCGAUGGCGAAGGCAGAUCUCUGGGCCGUAACUGACGCUGAGGAGCG
This 687-nucleotide ribosomal RNA is filed under the name Curtobacterium flaccumfaciens. RNAcentral describes it as "bacterial SSU rRNA". It matches the Rfam family "Bacterial small subunit ribosomal RNA", at positions 56 to 755 of the family's 1533-position model. Lineage: Bacteria; Bacillati; Actinomycetota; Actinomycetes; Micrococcales; Microbacteriaceae. The record is from RNAcentral.